UACGACGGGUACGGGUUGUGAGAGCAAGAGCCCGGAGAUGGAUUCUGAGACACGAAUCCAGGCCCUACGGGGUGCAGCAGGCGCGAAAACUUUACAAUGCUGGCAACAGCGAUAAGGGAACCUCGAGUGCCAGGUUACAAAUCUGGCUGUCGAGAUGCCUAAAAAGCAUUUCAUAGCAAGGGCCGGGCAAGACCGGUGCCAGCCGCCGCGGUAACACCGGCGGCUCGAGUGGUAACCGUUAUUAUUGGGUCUAAAGGGUCUGUAGCCGGCCGGAUAAGUCUCUUGAGAAAUCUGGCAGCUUAACUGUCAGGCUUUCAGGAGAUACUGUCUGGCUCGAGGCCGGGAGAGGUGAGAGGUACUUCAGGGGUAGGGGUGAAAUCUUGUAAUCCUUGAAGGACCACCAGUGGCGAAGGCGUCUCACCAGAACGGACCUGACGGCAAGGGACGAAAGCUAGGGGCACGAACCGGAUUAGAUACCCGGGUAGUCCUAGCCGUAAACGAUACUCGCUAGGUGUCGGCCACGGUGCGACCGUUGUCGGUGCCGUAGGGAAGCC
Molecule: ribosomal RNA, 554 nt
Filed under: uncultured archaeon
Lineage: Archaea
Description: bacterial SSU rRNA
Rfam family: Archaeal small subunit ribosomal RNA
Source: RNAcentral